RNAcentral lists this ribosomal RNA (252 nucleotides) under uncultured Acholeplasma sp. Its description in RNAcentral is "partial 16S ribosomal RNA". It matches the Rfam family "Bacterial small subunit ribosomal RNA", at positions 524 to 776 of the family's 1533-position model. Lineage: Bacteria; Bacillati; Mycoplasmatota; Mollicutes; Acholeplasmatales; Acholeplasmataceae. The record is from RNAcentral.
UACGGAGGGUGCAAGCGUUAUCCGGAUUUACUGGGCGUAAAGGGUGCGUAGGUUGUUAAUUAAGUUUCUGGUAUAAGUGCAGUGCUCAACGCUGUGACGCUAGAAAAACUGGUUAGCUAGAGUGAGACAGAGGUAAGUGGAAUUCCAUGUGUAGCGGUAAAAUGCGUAAAUAUAUGGAGGAACACCAGUGGCGAAGGCGGCUUACUGGGUCUCAACUGACGCUGAUGCACGAAAGCGUGGGGAGCAAACAGG